UACGUAGGGGGCUAGCGUUGCUCGGAAUUACUGGGCGUAAAGCGCACGUAGGCGGCUCUUUAAGUCGGAGGUGAAAUCCUGGAGCUCAACUCCAGAACUGCCUUCGAUACUGUAGAGCUUGAGUUCGGGAGAGGUGAGUGGAACUGCGAGUGUAGAGGUGAAAUUCGUAGAUAUUCGCAAGAACACCAGUGGCGGAGGCGGCUCACUGGCCCGAUACUGACGCUGAGGUGCGAAAGCGUGGGGAGCAAACAGG
RNAcentral lists this ribosomal RNA (253 nucleotides) under uncultured bacterium. RNAcentral describes it as "partial 16S ribosomal RNA". It matches the Rfam family "Bacterial small subunit ribosomal RNA", at positions 524 to 776 of the family's 1533-position model. The record is from RNAcentral.